Molecule: ribosomal RNA, 163 nt
Filed under: Myuroclada maximowiczii
Lineage: Eukaryota; Viridiplantae; Streptophyta; Bryopsida; Hypnales; Brachytheciaceae
Description: 5.8S ribosomal RNA
Rfam family: 5.8S ribosomal RNA
About the family: 5.8S ribosomal RNA (5.8S rRNA) is a component of the large subunit of the eukaryotic ribosome. It is transcribed by RNA polymerase I as part of the 45S precursor that also contains 18S and 28S rRNA.
Source: RNAcentral
ACUCUCAGCAACGGAUAUCUUGGCUCUUGCAACGAUGAAGAACGCAGCGAAAUGCGAUACGUAGUGUGAAUUGCAGAAUUCCCGCGAAUCAUCGAGUCUUUGAACGCAAGUUGCGCCCGAGGCUUGUCCGAGGGCAUUUCCGCUAGAGGGGUCACCGCGCCCC